UUUUUUACUUAUAAAACGAUAAAAAUAUUUUAUUUAUAAAAUGCAAAGGAGGAAAAAUAUGUCUCGGAUUCUAGUGUUUGUUUAUGAUUUAAUCAUCUUUCUUUCUAUAUUUUUUCUUGUGACCGGUAAAACCACAGUUCCUUGUACUUCAGAUAAGGAUUGUCCAGAAACAAUACUUCAUAAAAUUUGGCAAUGCAUUGAUAACUUUUGUGUGGUCAAGAUGACUGGUUCAAUGUGUCCUGGUUGUUAAGAGUUUAGUAAUUUAAUUGUAAGAAUAUUUUAUUUUUAUGUUGAACUGCGAUUUCGAACCGAAUCACCAUAUUUUACCA
This is a long non-coding RNA of Vicia villosa (hairy vetch), 329 nucleotides long. RefSeq lists it as uncharacterized. The transcript is spliced from 2 exons. The record is from RefSeq and is a predicted model, not a curated record. Lineage: Eukaryota; Viridiplantae; Streptophyta; Magnoliopsida; Fabales; Fabaceae.